UGUAAGCGUAUACCAAAGUUGUUGCAGUUAAAACGCUCGUAGUCGGAAUUUGGCGGUUCCGGAUGUGUGCACGUCGUGUGCGCACUUCGCGGGGAUUGCUUUUGUGGUCUUGCGUAGGAUGAGGCACUUUUAUUAGUGAACGUCCUCACGCAACCACUUUUUACUGUGAGAAAAUCAGAGUGCUCAAAGCAGGCAUUUGCCGUGAAUGUAUUAGCAUGGAAUAAUAGAAUAGGACUUGGUUCUAUUUUGUUGGUUUGUUGGGACUGAGUAAUGAUUAAGAGGGACAGCUGGGGGCAUUUGUAUUUCGGUGCUAGAGGUGAAAUUCUUAGAUUACCGAAAGACAAACUGCUGCGAAAGCGUCUGCCAAGGAUGUUUUCAUUGA
Molecule: ribosomal RNA, 382 nt
Filed under: uncultured eukaryote
Lineage: Eukaryota
Description: partial 18S ribosomal RNA
Rfam family: Eukaryotic small subunit ribosomal RNA
Source: RNAcentral